GAGGGUGUAGCUCAGUGGUAGAGUGCAUGCUUAGCAUGCACGAGGUCCUGGGUUCCAUCCCCAGUGCCUCCA
RNAcentral lists this transfer RNA (72 nucleotides) under Camelus bactrianus (Bactrian camel). It matches the Rfam family "tRNA". Rfam says of the family: Transfer RNA (tRNA) molecules are approximately 80 nucleotides in length. Their secondary structure includes four short double-helical elements and three loops (D, anti-codon, and T loops). Lineage: Eukaryota; Metazoa; Chordata; Mammalia; Artiodactyla; Camelidae. The record is from Rfam by way of RNAcentral. RNAcentral also lists the same sequence under 2 other names.